UACGUAGGCAGCGAGCGUUGUUCGGAGUUACUGGGCGUAAAGGGUGUGUAGGCGGUUGUCUAAGUUUGGUGUGAAAUCUCCCGGCUCAACUGGGAGGGUGCGCCGAAUACUGAAUGACUAGAGUACGGGAGAGGAAAGUGGAAUUCCUGGUGUAGCGGUGAAAUGCGUAGAUAUCAGGAGGAACACCGGUGGUGUAGACGGCUUUCUGGACCGUAACUGACGCUGAAACACGAAAGCGUGGGUAGCAAACAGG
Molecule: ribosomal RNA, 253 nt
Filed under: uncultured bacterium
Lineage: Bacteria
Description: partial 16S ribosomal RNA
Rfam family: Bacterial small subunit ribosomal RNA
Source: RNAcentral